GUGCUCACUUCGGCAGCACAUAUACUAAAAUUGGAAUGAUACAGAGAAGAUUAGCAUGGCCACAAUAAAAAAAAAGAAAAUUCCUAUAUUAUU
Molecule: small nuclear RNA, 93 nt
Filed under: Rhinolophus ferrumequinum (greater horseshoe bat)
Lineage: Eukaryota; Metazoa; Chordata; Mammalia; Chiroptera; Rhinolophidae
Source: RNAcentral